This 505-nucleotide ribosomal RNA is filed under the name uncultured bacterium. Its description in RNAcentral is "partial 16S ribosomal RNA". It matches the Rfam family "Bacterial small subunit ribosomal RNA", at positions 28 to 507 of the family's 1533-position model. The record is from RNAcentral.
GACGAACGCUGGCGGCGUGCCUAAUACAUGCAAGUAGAACGCACAGUUUAUACCGUAGCUUGCUACACCAUAAACUGUGAGUUGCGAACGGGUGAGUAACGCGUAGGUAACCUGCCUGGUAGCGGGGGAUAACUAUUGGAAACGAUAGCUAAUACCGCAUAAUAUUGAUUAUUGCAUGAUAAUUGAUUGAAAGAUGCUAUUGCAUCACUACCAGAUGGACCUGCGUUGUAUUAGCUAGUAGGUGAGGUAACGGCUCACCUAGGCGACGAUACAUAGCCGACCUGAGAGGGUGAUCGGCCAAACCGGGACUGAGACAAGGCCCAGACUCCUACGGGAGGAAGCAGUAGGGAAUCUUCGGCAAGGGACGAAAGUCUGAACGAGCAAAGCCGGGUGAGGGAAGAAGGUUUUCGGAUCGGAAAGAUUUGUUGUGAGAGAAGAACGGGUGUGAGAGUUGAAAGUUCACAAUGUGACGGUAACCUACCAGAAAGGGACGGCUAACUACGUG